GAUGAACGCUGGCGGCGUGCCUAAUACAUGCAAGUCGAGCGAACAGACGAUGAGCUUGCUCCUCUCACGUUAGCGGCGGACGUGUGAGUAACACAUGUAUAACCUACCUAUAAUACUGGUAUAACUUCGGGAAACCGGAUCUAAUACCGUAUAAUCUCUUGAACCGCAUGGUUCAAUAGUGAAAUACGGUUUUUCUGUCACUUAUAGAUGGAUCCGGGCCGCAUUAGCUAGUUGUUACGGUAACGGCUUACCAAGGCGACGAUGCGUAGACGAACUAACGGGGUGAUAGGCGGCAUUAGAAGUGAGACAGGGUCCAGGGGCCUAAGGGAGGCAGCAGUAGGGAAUGGUACGCAAUGGGCGAAAGUAUGACGGAGUAAGGCGAAGUGAGUGAUGAAGGUCUUGGGAUCGUAAAAAUCUGUUACUAGGGAAAAACAAAUGUGUAAGGAAAUAUGGACGUAUUGACGGUAACUAAUAAGAAAGCAACGGCUAACUACGUG
RNAcentral lists this ribosomal RNA (497 nucleotides) under uncultured bacterium. RNAcentral describes it as "partial 16S ribosomal RNA". It matches the Rfam family "Bacterial small subunit ribosomal RNA", at positions 28 to 507 of the family's 1533-position model. The record is from RNAcentral.